CUUGACGACCAUAGAGCGUUGGAACCACCUGAUCCAUCCGAACUCAGCAGUGAAACGAUGCAUCGCGAUGGUAGUGGGGUUUCCCAUGUGAGAGUAGGUCAUCGUCAAGA
This 110-nucleotide ribosomal RNA is filed under the name Pseudomonas jessenii. The record is from RNAcentral. Lineage: Bacteria; Pseudomonadati; Pseudomonadota; Gammaproteobacteria; Pseudomonadales; Pseudomonadaceae.